This 585-nucleotide ribosomal RNA is filed under the name uncultured fungus. RNAcentral's name for it is "eukaryotic LSU rRNA". The stretch from base 206 to 360 matches the Rfam family "5.8S ribosomal RNA". Lineage: Eukaryota; Fungi. The record is from RNAcentral.
CAUUACCGAAUUGUUAACAAGAGUUGUUGCUGGUCCCUGUAUGGGGGCAUGUGCACGCUCUGUUUACACAUCCACUCACACCUGUGCACCCUCUGUAGUUCUAUGGCCUGUGGGGCUCCGUCCCCCUGCUGUGGUUCUAUGUAUUUACACACACACUGUAACAAAGUCUUAUGGAAUGUAUGUCGCGUUUAACGCAAUGAAAUACAACUUUCAGCAACGGAUCUCUUGGCUCUCGCAUCGAUGAAGAACGCAGCGAAAUGCGAUAAGUAAUGUGAAUUGCAGAAUUCAGUGAAUCAUCGAACCUUUGAACGCACCUUGCGCCCUUUGGCUAUUCCGAAGGGCAUGCCUGUUUGAGUAUCAUGAACACCUCAACUCUCAUGGCUUGCCAUGAUGAGCUUGGACUAUGGGGGUUUUGCUGGCCUGCAAGUCAGCUCCUCUCAAAUGAAUUAGCUUGCCGGUGUUUGGUGGCAUCACGGGUGUGAUAACUAUCUACGCUUGUGGUUUUCCGCCAGGUAACCUUCAGCAAUGGAGGUUCACUGGAGCUCAUAAUGUCUCUCCUCGGUGAGGACAGAUUUCGACCAUUUG